This 253-nucleotide ribosomal RNA is filed under the name uncultured bacterium. RNAcentral describes it as "partial 16S ribosomal RNA". It matches the Rfam family "Bacterial small subunit ribosomal RNA", at positions 524 to 776 of the family's 1533-position model. The record is from RNAcentral.
UACAGAGGGUGCAAGCGUUAAUCGGAAUUACUGGGCGUAAAGCGUGCGCAGACGGUUGCGUAAGUCAGAUGUGAAAGCCCCGGGCUCAACCUGGGAAUUGCAUUUGAGACUGCGUAGCUAGGGUGCGGAAGAGGGAAGCGGAAUUUCCGGUGUAGCGGUGAAAUACGUAGAUAUCGGAAGGAACACCAGUGGCGAAAGCGGCUUCCUGGUCCAGCACCGACGUUCAGGCACGAAAGCGUGGGGAGCAAACAGG